RNAcentral lists this ribosomal RNA (610 nucleotides) under uncultured bacterium. Its description in RNAcentral is "bacterial SSU rRNA". It matches the Rfam family "Bacterial small subunit ribosomal RNA", at positions 337 to 952 of the family's 1533-position model. The record is from RNAcentral.
UCCUACGGGAGGCAGCAGUGAGGAAUAUUGCGCAAUGGGCGAAAGCCUGACGCACCGACGCCGCGUGGGGGAUGAAGGUCUUCGGAUUGUAAACCCCUUUCGGGAGGGAAGAUGGGACGGGCAACCGUUCGGACGGUACCUCCAGAAGCAGCCACGGCUAAAUUCGUGCCAGCAGCCGCGGUAAUACGAAGGUGGCAAGCGUUGUUCGGAUUUACUGGGCGUACAGGGAGCGUAGGCGGUUGGGUAAGCCCUUCGGGAAAUCUCCAGGCUUAACCUGGAAAGGUCGGGGGGGACUGCCUGGCUAGAGGACGGGAGAGGAGCGCGGAAUUCCCGGUGUAGCGGUGAAAUGCGUAGAGAUCGGGAGGAAGGCCGGUGGCGAAGGCGGCGCUCUGGAACGUUCCUGACGCUGAGGCUCGAAAGCGUGGGGAGCAAACAGGAUUAGAUACCCUGGUAGUCCACGCCCUAAACGAUGGACACUAAGUGUCGGGGGGUUACCCCCGGUGCCGCAGCUAACGCAGUAAGUGUCCCGCCUGGGGAUUACGGCCGCAAGGUUGAAACUCAAAGGAAUUGACGGGGGCCCGCACAAGCGGUGGAGCAUGUGGUUCAAUUC